GGUCCCUGAGCCGACCGGGCUGCUGGCGGGCAGCGACAGGGGCGUGGGCAGCACUGGGGGCCCGCGGGACGGUCACGGGGCCGCCGCAUGGUGCUGCUGCUGCGCCCGGAUCCAGAGCGCCCAGCGUGAGAUGAGAGGCGGGUGCCGGCCCGUGCAGCGACAGCGACAAGUGCUUGGCCGGGCCCGGGGGCACCGCUGCUCCUGCCCAGGCCCCGCAGGCCAGCCAUAGGGCGCUGCUCGCAAUGAGAUUCAUGCUGUUCGCAAGUGCAUACAUGGUGAUUCACGUGUUCAAGGAUCAGGCGGGAUCCCAGCACCUGCACAGCACUGGAUUCUCCCUGAGAGCCUCUCCCGAGAAAAAGCCACCCAGAUCAUCCUGCUUAUGAUCUUCGAAAUGUCAGGAACCAAAAGAUCAUCGGAGUUGGGGUCGCACAACAUGGAAACAGAUGGAUGACAACACUUCAGAAAGGGUCUGUGCCAGCGACCACUCAGAUCUAAGGAAGUGCAGACAGAGCUUCCAUUUCUGUUAAUAUCCGAGGGUGAACUCGGUGGUGAAUGUGAUCUUGGGUGGUUUGAAGGCAUAAUCGGGUAGCAACUGGAUCCUCAGGAAGAAGACCCUUCCUUGGUAGAGGCUGUUGUUGUGCCCCAUUACGGUGGCCUGCCAGUGGAGCACAUCGUGCCCUGCCGGCCCUGCUGAGCCCUGGGCCGGGGGUCGCGGUCCCGGUCGAGCAGCUCCUUGUGGAUGCGCUUUACCGCAGCUGUCCGGAGCUGGGGACUUCUCUGCCCCCAGGCCGUGCUGCUGCCGCCAUGCUGGUUCCCAGCAGCCUGGCCCUGACCCUUGCCCAGGCCGCCUGCAUCCAGCGCUAGCAGCCCGCAGGGACUCGCUCUGUGAGGUCACUAAGGCAGUGUUGACAAGGGCAGGGCCACCCUUCAAAUUUUCAACUGCAUUUUUUUGUGGAAAUAAACAAGCUUACCCUAAAUCUAUAUUUGUGUGUAAAGGAAACCAGAAACCACAAAACAAUCUUUAAAAGGAGUGACAGUAAUCAAAGCACGUAGUAGUAGACGAGGAUAGAUGCAGGUAGACCAAUGAGGAGAUUUAAAGGUUCGUUAAUAAACACAGGCAUUUUCAGAAAGGGGUCAAGAAAUUUCAGAGGAAAGAAAAGUGUUUUGAACAAAUGAUGCUGGUAAAAUUGGAUAUGGAGAUGCAAAAGGGUAAAUGUGGACCCCAAAUUUGAAACACGUGUGACAAAAGUAUUCAAAAAGAUUGUAUAUCUAAAUGCCAGAACUAAAAUAUUCCUAGGAGGAAUAGUAGAGUAUUUUAUUGUGAUCUUGAAUUAGGCAAACAUUUCGUAGAUUUUACACCAAAAGAAUAAUGAAGAGAAAAUUUGAUGAAUUGUCCACCAAAUUUAAAAUUUUUUGUCUUCAAACAUCGUGAAAAUAUAA
Molecule: long non-coding RNA, 1440 nt
Organism: Lemur catta (Ring-tailed lemur)
Lineage: Eukaryota; Metazoa; Chordata; Mammalia; Primates; Lemuridae
Exons: 3
Source: RefSeq, a predicted model, not a curated record